RNAcentral lists this long non-coding RNA (357 nucleotides) under Junco hyemalis (dark-eyed junco). RNAcentral's name for it is "lncRNA (ENSJHYG00000012328.1)". The record is from RNAcentral. Lineage: Eukaryota; Metazoa; Chordata; Aves; Passeriformes; Passerellidae.
CAGGGCCAUGCCUACACCGUCACAGGAGCUGUGAAGGUCCCCUACAAGAAUGGCUGGAAACAUAUCAUCAGGAUCUGGAAUCCAUGGGGCCAUGGGGAGUGGAAGGGGCCCUGGAGUGAUAACUCUCCUCAGUGGGACCGUGUUGAGCCUAAAUACAGAGAAGCCCUCCUCAGAAAUAAAGAUGAUGGAGAAUUCUGGAUGUGCUGUAAGGAUUUCCAGGAGCAGUUUUCAUGGCUGUACAUAUGUAACAACACCCCAACAUUCCUGGACUUUGGAGAUGAGCACGGCACAGCAGCGUGGUCUCUGACCAGCUACAGCAACCUGUGGAGCCCGGGCCUUCCCUCCAGGAGGAGCCGC